UACGUAGGGUGCGAGCGUUGUCCGGAAUUACUGGGCGUAAAGAGCUCGUAGGUGGUUUGUCGCGUUGUUCGUGAAAACCGGGGGCUUAACCCUCGGCGUGCGGGCGAUACGGGCAGACUUGAGUACUGCAGGGGAGACUGGAAUUCCCGGUGUAGUGGUGGAAUGCGUAGAUAUCGGGAGGAACACCAGUGGCGAAGGCGGUUGCCUGGAGCUUUGCUGACGCUGAGGCGCGAAAGCGUGGGGAGCGAUCCGG
RNAcentral lists this ribosomal RNA (253 nucleotides) under uncultured bacterium. RNAcentral describes it as "partial 16S ribosomal RNA". It matches the Rfam family "Bacterial small subunit ribosomal RNA", at positions 524 to 776 of the family's 1533-position model. The record is from RNAcentral.